UAGAGGAAAAGAAGGAGAUUAAAUCAUCAGCAAGACUUUUAAAUAAAUAAACUUGUUAAUGUUUGCCUGAAGAAGGAAAUUGAGCAACAUGAUGAUGCCACUCCCAAAGAGACAAAACCCAAACAACUGGAAAGACAUGAAACCUCAGAAGAUUCCAGAUUAUUCCAAUUAUUUUAGUAUUUCAACUAGGUAUUUAGCUUGAAAAACAUCCAAACUUUAUAGAAGGGCGAUACGUGUUUUCAAACCACUAUGUUUACUUCAAAAGUAAACGUUUAGUCUAGGAAAUCUCAUAUAUAAGAAUCCUACGACAAAACUCAAACCUUAAAACCCGACGUUGUGCUCCUUUCCAAGCUCUCCCUCCUUCUCUCUGCUCCCGGUGUCAAUUGCAAAACUCCAAAUACACCUGCAGUUCUUAUACAACCUGUGAUCCUGGCUCCGCCCACAAUUAUUCAUAUAUGGAGAUUCCGUCCCAUGAAACUUCCGGAAUUUAGGUCGAAACUUUGAGGCAUCCGCUCAUUGGCGUUUCCAUGGUUGCUCGAAUGAAAAUAUGAGCGGAACGCUGUACGAAUGUCAACAGCAGGUGUGUUUCAUUAUUUUGCCCCCGGAAAAAAAGCUUGGAAUUGGUGCAAAUAUUCGAAAAAAGUUUCAGGGCUGGGUCGCCCCAUCACUGAAGACAAUUAGCCUGAAUGAGCAGAGGGGUUCUGUUGCUUUUGGAGUCAUUACUGCACAAUAGAAGAGCCAUACAUUGUUUGGGUGUGAAUAAUAAAACUAAGCUACGGGUGGAAAAAGAUAACCAGAUGAAAAAACACAGGCCCAUUGGUCCCAGGAUUUAUAUGGCUUAUUUCAUACAUUGUCUGUAUUUUUAUUUGUGCAUUACGUAAACAUGUCCAUUGCACUUAUCCUUUAAAUUGAGUUGCAGAUAUUGCAUGUUAUGUUUGCAGAGUAAUUAAAGUGCAUUAACUCAU
Molecule: long non-coding RNA, 965 nt
Organism: Megalobrama amblycephala (Wuchang bream)
Lineage: Eukaryota; Metazoa; Chordata; Actinopteri; Cypriniformes; Xenocyprididae
Exons: 2
Source: RefSeq, a predicted model, not a curated record